RNAcentral lists this ribosomal RNA (253 nucleotides) under uncultured bacterium. Its description in RNAcentral is "partial 16S ribosomal RNA". It matches the Rfam family "Bacterial small subunit ribosomal RNA", at positions 524 to 776 of the family's 1533-position model. The record is from RNAcentral.
UACGGAGGGUGCAAGCGUUAUCCGGAUUCACUGGGCUUAAAGGGCGCGUAGGCGGGCAGGCAAGUCAGUGGUGAAAUCUCCGGGCUUAACCCGGAAACUGCCGUUGAUACUAUCUGUCUUGAAUAUCGUAGAGGUAAGCGGAAUAUGUCAUGUAGCGGUGAAAUGCUUAGAUAUGACAUAGAACACCCAUUGCGAAGGCAGCUUACUGCACGAGCAUUGACGCUGAGGCACGAAAGCGUGGGGAGCAAACAGG